GAGUACGGUCGCAAGACUGAAACUCAAAGGAAUUGACGGGGGCCCGCACAAGCGGUGGAACAUGUGGUUCAAUUCGACGCAACGCGAAGAACCUUACCUGGGCUUGAACCGCACAGGACCAUCUUUGGAAACAGAGACUUCCCGCAAGGGACCUGUGUAAAGGUGCUGCAUGGCUGUCGUCAGCUCGUGCCGUGAGGUGUUGGGUUAAGUCCCGCAACGAGCGCAACCCUUACUCGUAGUUGCCACCCGCAAGGGGGAACUCUACGAGGACUGCUCCGGAUAACGGAGAGGAAGGUGGGGAUGAGGUCAAGUCAGCAUGGCCUUUAUGUCCAGGGCAACACACGUGUUACAAUGCGCGCCACAAAGCGUUGCAAACCCGCGAGGGGGAGCUAAUCGCAAAAAAGCGCGCUCAGUUCGGAUUGCAGUCUGCAACUCGACUGCAUGAAGCCGGAAUCGCUAGUAAUGGCGCAUCAGAACGGCGCCGUGAAUACGUUCCCGGGCCUUGUACACACCGCCCGUCACAUCACGAAAGUGGGCUGUACUAGAAAUCGUCGUGCCAACCGCAAGGAGGCAGACGCUCAAGGUAUGACUCAUGAUUGGGGUG
RNAcentral lists this ribosomal RNA (604 nucleotides) under uncultured Acidobacteriota bacterium. RNAcentral's name for it is "bacterial SSU rRNA". It matches the Rfam family "Bacterial small subunit ribosomal RNA", at positions 878 to 1482 of the family's 1533-position model. The record is from RNAcentral. Lineage: Bacteria; Pseudomonadati; Acidobacteriota.